This 131-nucleotide small nucleolar RNA is filed under the name Propithecus coquereli (Coquerel's sifaka). RNAcentral's name for it is "Small nucleolar RNA SNORA33 (ENSPCOG00000000462.1)". It matches the Rfam family "Small nucleolar RNA SNORA33". Rfam says of the family: ACA33 is a member of the H/ACA class of snoRNA that guide the sites of modification of uridines to pseudouridines. Lineage: Eukaryota; Metazoa; Chordata; Mammalia; Primates; Indriidae. The record is from Rfam by way of RNAcentral.
GAGCCAGCCAAUGAAUCUGCUUACCUGAAUGUGUUUGUGCAGAAAUUUUUUAAAAGCUGGCAAUAGUAAAGCCAUGUUACGAGUCUUAAGGAUAUUGAAGUCAUUUAAGGUCCCUGAAAAUGGCUAUAAGA